ACGACUCUCGGCAACGGAUAUCUCGGCUCUCGCAUCGAUGAAGAACGUAGCGAAAUGCGAUACUUGGUGUGAAUUGCAGAAUCCCGUGAACCAUCGAGUUUUUGAACGCAAGUUGCGCCCAAAGCCGUCAGGCCAAGGGCACGUCUGCCUGGGUGUCACUCA
This 162-nucleotide ribosomal RNA is filed under the name Sesamoides interrupta. Its description in RNAcentral is "5.8S ribosomal RNA". It matches the Rfam family "5.8S ribosomal RNA". From Rfam's summary of the family: 5.8S ribosomal RNA (5.8S rRNA) is a component of the large subunit of the eukaryotic ribosome. It is transcribed by RNA polymerase I as part of the 45S precursor that also contains 18S and 28S rRNA. Lineage: Eukaryota; Viridiplantae; Streptophyta; Magnoliopsida; Brassicales; Resedaceae. The record is from RNAcentral. RNAcentral also lists the same sequence under 4 other names.